Long non-coding RNA from Drosophila novamexicana, 883 nucleotides. RefSeq lists it as uncharacterized. The record is from RefSeq and is a predicted model, not a curated record. Lineage: Eukaryota; Metazoa; Arthropoda; Insecta; Diptera; Drosophilidae. The transcript has 3 exons.
GUUGAUAUAAUAUUGGCUAAGUGAAUUUGUGCUUGCAUAAAAUUAUUAGAAUUUAACCAUGAAUGUCGGCUUGUAACAAGUGCAGCCCACAGUAUAAAAAGGGCUGCUCAAUGCUGGAUUGUAGCCGAAGCUGCGAGCCGGCCUAGAACAGGUGUAAAAUAUAAAAGGGAGUGCCCAUAGCAUCUGGGUUUCAGUCGAAGCUGCGCCGGGGCCCAGGAAGGAAGGUGUAAUAGCGUGUUUGUGUUUACAUAAAUAUGUUAAUAACAGAUCAAAAUGGCAUCUCGUCAUAGUAUAAAAGGAGCAGCUCACUGUAGCUGGGGUUCAGUCGAGUCUGCGAGGCGGCCCAGUAAGGAAGGUGCAAAAGUGUGUAUAUGCAUCCUUUGCCUUUGGUCCUAAAGCAAUUACAAUCGAUGCAUGAAUUACACACUCAACACUACACGCCUGCUGGUUCACACACAACACACAACUCUCGCUAAAGGGUAUUAGAAAUUUGCAUAAAUAAAACAGCGCAAAUUGGCAUAUAAAUAAAAUGGAUACAAUUUAAAAUGUGUAAAUCCCAACAUAAUUUGACGCAAGUGAAACAACUUUGAAAAGAAGAUUUAUUGUACAAUGCAAAUUAACUAGCUGAAAACACGAAUGGAUUUUGCAUAAAUUUAAAAUAUGUGGCUGCCAAUAGAUUAAAAGCUCCUGACGUCAAUCCCUUGUCAACAUGACGCCCAAUUGUGUCGCCUGGGAGGCCCACGAAGGAUAAUUUCUUCGCUAUGCAUAAGUCAUGCUGUUAUUGGGAUCAAAUCAUGUUUGGGCUCGGACAAGUUGAAAACUUGGUGAAGCCAGUCGGGCUUUCAAGAUAUUGGCUUCGUCUUGAAUUCGAAAUGAGGCAAUG